AAAUUGAAGAGUUUGAUCAUGGCUCAGAUUGAACGCUGGCGGCAGGCCUAACACAUGCAAGUCGAACGGUAGCACAGAGAGCUUGCUCUCGGGUGACGAGUGGCGGACGGGUGAGUAAUGUCUGGGAAACUGCCUGAUGG
This 140-nucleotide ribosomal RNA is filed under the name Salmonella enterica subsp. enterica serovar Infantis. RNAcentral's name for it is "partial 16S ribosomal RNA". It matches the Rfam family "Bacterial small subunit ribosomal RNA", at positions 1 to 136 of the family's 1533-position model. RNAcentral also lists the same sequence under 6 other names. The record is from RNAcentral. Lineage: Bacteria; Pseudomonadati; Pseudomonadota; Gammaproteobacteria; Enterobacterales; Enterobacteriaceae.